This is a non-coding RNA of Macaca mulatta (Rhesus monkey), 2463 nucleotides long. The record is from RefSeq and is a predicted model, not a curated record. NCBI's taxonomy places the organism in Eukaryota, Metazoa, Chordata, Mammalia, Primates, Cercopithecidae.
UGCACCACUGCACUCCAGCCUGUGUGACAGAGUGAUACCCUGUUUCUAAAAAAUAAAGUAAAGUAACCUGAGUGAGGGUGGGAGAGAGUUAACCAAAGAAAACUGAAAAUAAUACUAGAACCUUCGCUAUUACGGGCAGAAAGUUUCCUGCAAGCAGCAGCCAAGUUCCCAGAGAGGAAAAAAGUGUGUGUCUGUGUGUGUGUGUUUAGCUUCAAAAUCACAAAACACUUAGGUACUAUGUUUUAUUUCUCCAAUUUUCCUUCUUUCCAAAAAAAAGAAAGAAAAAAAAAUGAAUGCAAGGAGCAGAGGUCUCAGAAAUCUUCAGGCAGUCCUGCCUGAAUUGCUAAAGCAAGGAAGCUGAGGGCCUUGCAGCCCAUUCCUCUAGUACCUAUGGCGUCUGGGGCCUGCAGCAGGUGUGGCGGUGACGCGGGUUAUUUGUUUUCCAGGGUCAGGUUGGCACAUUUCUAGCCCAGGGCUCUGGGUAAAUGUUUAGAUUUCAUUUUCUGUCUGGUGUUCAACUCCUGGGCGUCAAAGGCAGGCCCCUGCAUGCUGCUGCCCUCCUACGUCCUUUGUCUCCUCCCAGGGGCUGGUGGGAAUUCAAGAGGUGAGAGGAAAAGGGAGGGGAGGGAGUGGACGCUUUGCUGCGGUUCCAGCUCUCCCAAAGAGCCGCUUUCAAGACACAGCAUCCUCCUCUCCCUCGCCCUCUCUAGGGAGGGCUUGCAGCGCCCCAGUACUGGGAAUGGGGCUUGUUUACACAGCUCAUUAUUCGCUCUUUGCAGUUGCUAUAGCAACCACCAGGGGUCAGUUUAUAGAAGGAGAGGAAGUUCACUUUUGGGGAGUUAACCUUCCAGCUCCUGUGCAAAGCGCAGCUGAAAACAAAAGCCCCAGACACCCAUGGAGGAAACACAUCGAAAAGCUUCCUAUGAACGGAGAGGCAGCACCCCAUCAGAGCAGCGCACCCAUCUCGAGAUCCACACCCACCAGAGAGGAGCGGCGCUGCUUCUGUAGAGCUUGCAGGGAAGACCCCCAGGACGCCUGGCCAGUGAAGAGUGUCCAGCACUAACCUGCUUAGCUAACCCGAUUCAGCAAACAAAUAAUACAGAUGCCCAGUUAAAUCUGACCUGCAGAAAAACAAGGAAUUUUUGUGUAAGUCUUCCAUGUAGCAUCUGGACCAUAUAUACAGUAAGUCUAUAGAACCUAACAUAAGCCAGUCCUUGCCCUCCUCCUCACUGGCCACCAUCACCUCCAAAAGAGUUUAGUAGAUAAGUUCUCUUUUAUAAGCAAAUAAAGUGCCAGCUUACUGUUCAGGAUGAUCUAGGCCUUGGACUAUCAGGCUGAUCAUGAAAAAAAAAUGAAAGGGAGUGAUUUACAUAUAUGCAAGUCAUAAACCAGAGGCUAGGCUAGCCACAGACAGCCACUCAUCUUCCCUCAGAUCUAAACACCAGCAUGAGUUACUUGAUUGGUAAAUGCAAUAGAACUCAUUUUGUGAAUUAUCUAAAAUCCAUAAAGGGUAAUGAUUUCUAUUUGUUUGAAAGGAAAAACAUUUUUGCUGUGUAUGUGUUUAAAGGAAUAGACCAAAUUUGUUUCUGAGCGCUACGCAUGUACAGGGGAGACAGUGAUAUUUGCAUUUAUCAAAGUCACACCCUUCCCAGCAUUUCUUUUGCUAAGGUUUUACCGCUUCUUCAUCAAGAAGGCUGGCUCAGUGAAAGUUUUACUGAAUUUUGUAGAAAUUCUGGAAAACCUAGACCAUUAGUUGUAAUGCUGUGCUGACCCUAAAUCCACGAACCCAAAACUUAAGGCAAAAAAAAAAAAAAAAAAAAAAAUUAAGAAGCAUAAACUUUUAUGAAAACAAAGCAAAUAGCAGCUGUAGUAUAUUCCAUCAGGUCCCCACCAACUCAGACUGCAGACUCCCACAGCUCUGAUCCAAAACAGGGAAUUAAAGGAAAACUGUCAAGCUAAACAUUAUCAACAAUAAAAAUAUUCUCACCUGUUGCUAACUCUAAAAAUCUCAAUAUAGAUUUCACAGAGAAAAAAAAAGUGUUAGUUUUAGAAGCUGAUCCUUCUAAAGCCCAGAACAGUGAGUUCUAAUUUUGUCUCUUCAAUGUCUGGUUGUGACCUCCGUGGAAGUCUGUGGACAGUUCUGACUUGGUCUCCCUGUGGGCAAAAUGCAGAUACUGAAUUAUACGUGUUCUUUGCCUAAUCAAGAGUGUAUAAUAAGAAUGUCUAUACCUAUACUCUGAGCUCUUCAGACAAAAGGCAGGAAGUAGAAAUGUGAUUAUUUGUGCUGUUCACUUUUUAAACAAGCAACUUGAUUUAGAAGUUGAAAUCAGUUUAGUUGUUUGGUUUGGUUUGAUUUAAAGCACUUUGAAAUAACUUCAUUUUGGAAACCCUAUUUUCAUUUAUUUAAACCAAUAGUCCUCUGCUUUUUUUCUUAAUCAUUUGUUAAUAAACCCUACAUUUGAA